ACUCCUACGGGAGGCAGCAGUGAGGAAUAUUGGUCAAUGGACGCAAGUCUGAACCAGCCAUGCCGCGUGCAGGAAGAAUGCCCUAUGGGUUGUAAACUGCUUUUAUUUGGGAAGAAACCUCUUUACGUGUAGAGAGCUGACGGUACCAAACGAAUAAGCACCGGCUAACUCCGUGCCAGCAGCCGCGGUAAUACGGAGGGUGCAAGCGUUAUCCGGAAUCAUUGGGUUUAAAGGGUCCGCAGGCGGGCUUAUAAGUCAGUGGUGAAAUCUCUCGGCUCAACCGAGAAACUGCCAUUGAUACUGUAGGUCUUGAAUUCGGUCGAAGUGGCGGAAUGAGUAGUGUAGCGGUGAAAUGCAUAGAUAUUACUCAGAACACCGAUAGCGAAGGCAGCUCACUAGGCCUGGAUUGACGCUGAGGGACGAAAGCGUGGGAGCGAACAGGAUUAGAUACCCCUGGUAGGAUAGCG
This 467-nucleotide ribosomal RNA is filed under the name uncultured bacterium. Its description in RNAcentral is "bacterial SSU rRNA". It matches the Rfam family "Bacterial small subunit ribosomal RNA", at positions 335 to 799 of the family's 1533-position model. The record is from RNAcentral.